This 1250-nucleotide ribosomal RNA is filed under the name uncultured prokaryote. RNAcentral's name for it is "partial 16S ribosomal RNA". It matches the Rfam family "Bacterial small subunit ribosomal RNA", at positions 37 to 1311 of the family's 1533-position model. The record is from RNAcentral.
UGGCGGCAGGCUUAACACAUGCAAGUCGAGCGGUAACAUUUCUAGCUUGCUAGAAGAUGACGAGCGGCGGACGGGUGAGUAAUGCUUGGGAAUAUGCCUUGAAGUGGGGGACAACAGUUGGAAACGACUGCUAAUACCGCAUAAUGUGCUUUUUGUAGUGAAAAGUACCACUCUCGCUUCUUGAUUAGCCCAAGUGAGAUUAGCUAGUUGGUAGGGUAAAGGCCUACCAAGGCGACGAUCUCUAGCUGGUUUGAGAGGAUGAUCAGCCACACUGGGACUGAGACACGGCCCAGACUCCUACGGGAGGCAGCAGUGGGGAAUAUUGCACAAUGGGGGAAACCCUGAUGCAGCCAUGCCGCGUGUGUGAAGAAGGCCUUCGGGUUGUAAAGCACUUUCAGUUGUGAGGAAAGCAUAAUGGUUAAUACCCAUUAUGUGUGACGUUAGCAACAGAAGAAGGACCGGCUAACUCCGUGCCAGCAGCCGCGGUAAUACGGAGGGUCCGAGCGUUAAUCGGAAUUACUGGGCGUAAAGCGCACGCAGGCGGUUUGUUAAGCUAGAUGUGAAAGCCCCGGGCUCAACCUGGGAAUAGCAUUUAGAACUGGCAGGCUAGAGUCUUGGAGAGGGGAGUGGAAUUUCUGGUGUAGCGGCGAAAUGCGUAGAUAUGUUGAGGAACAUCAUUGGCGAAGGCGACUCCCUGGCCAAAGACUGACGCUCAUGUGCGAAAGUGUGGGUAGCGAACAGGAUUAGAUACCCUGGUAGUCCACACCGUAAACGAUGUCUACUAGCUGUUUGUGGAUUUAAUCCGUGAGUAGCGCAGCUAACGCGAUAAGUAGACCGCCUGGGGAGUACGGCCGCAAGGUUAAAACUCAAAUGAAUGACGUGGGCCCGCACAAGCGGUGGAGCAUGUGGGGUAAGUCGAUGCAACGCGAAGAACCUGACCUACUCUUGACAUCCAGUGAAGUUACUAGAGAUAGUUUCGUGCCUUCGGGAACUCAGACACAGGUGCUGCAUGCUGUCGUCAGCUCGUGUCGUGAGAUGUUGGGUAAGUCCCGCAACGAGGCAUCCUUGUCCUAGUUGCAGGCUUAAGUGGCACUCUAGGAACUGCCGGUGACAACCGGAGAAAGGGGGGGACGACGUCAGUCUUCUUGGCCUCUACGUAGCUCACACGGGCUACAUGGCGUUACAGAGGAAGCUGACAUGGUGUGGAGCGCAACCCUCAAAAGUGGCCAACCGGAAGUGGAGCCUGCCUC